This is a long non-coding RNA of Empidonax traillii (willow flycatcher), 161 nucleotides long. RefSeq lists it as uncharacterized. NCBI's taxonomy places the organism in Eukaryota, Metazoa, Chordata, Aves, Passeriformes, Tyrannidae. The transcript has 3 exons. The record is from RefSeq and is a predicted model, not a curated record.
GUGGCUGUUUUCUGUGGAAUGGAAUUGUGAGAGCUGCAGGAGUGCAAGGUGUGGGUUCCAGUCCCCAGCAUUUGGUUUCCACAUGUCCUGGUCAGACACAGGUCCAGCUUCCUCAGUCCUUAACACACCAGAGGGAGAAUUAAGGGAUGGCACUGUUAAGG